Molecule: long non-coding RNA, 1632 nt
Organism: Macrobrachium nipponense
Lineage: Eukaryota; Metazoa; Arthropoda; Malacostraca; Decapoda; Palaemonidae
Exons: 3
Source: RefSeq, a predicted model, not a curated record
CUGACGGCGAGACGUAGCCGACCCACGCCACCAGCAUUUUGUAACAGACACUUGACAGCGUCCGUCAAGUUAGCAUCCCGUCUGCUUUUGUAUUUUAGGAUACAACUGUGUGCAGAAACAUGGCCCAUCUCCGUCACCCUAUCGUUCAAGUUUGCCGGUGAUGCAGCCCCUGCUUGGAGACCCACCCUCCAUUUAUUCAAGACCUACAGAAAGGAGCAGGAGUGACUGCAUUAUGAACUACGAAGGCGAAGUUGCCCAAGCAAUAUAAGUAUCCUUUUUGUCAUUUCUUUACUGGUUUUCAAUAAUUUUUCUGAAUCUUUCUGCUCUUGUUUGCAACUCUAGUAAUCACAGUCCUUUUUGUUUAUUGUUUUGAACUUGAUGUGUUAUUUUUGGUCUCUCAAAAUAUUUUGUGCUACAUUUAAAGUCAUAUAAUUAUAGGUUAUGGAGUCCUUUAGCAAUUUUUUGACAGUGGAUUCAUUUACAUAUUGAGAAGUCUUUUAUUAAUUUGCUCUGAGAUCGAUAGGUAGGAAUUCAGGGUCUUCUCAUUUCCAGUCUUUUUGUAGGUAUGAUAAAUAGAGCUAUUGCAAAUCGUGAUUUAGACCUUAUUAGAUAUUCAAAUUUAAUUCAUGGCAAAUCAUGCCUAUUUCAAAUCUGGUCCCUCAUCAGGGUCAUACCUGGUGAAAUAUGCCGAAACCUAUAAAAUGCAAGUUUGAGACGUUAAAUAAUAAACUGUUUUCCAUGGAUCAGAAAUGGUCAUACUAAGUAUUAGUGGAGUCUCUCUUGAGAUUUUCGUAAUCUUUGGAACUCUUUUGGUACACGAAGAGUAUGAGCAUUACAAAAUGGGCAGACAUACUGUCAUGAAAAAUGUGAAAGAAAUAGUAUGUAACUUGAGGAAGAAAUGGCUGAAACUUGACUCGUUUGUAAAUGAUUAGGAUGUUCUGAGGGUUUGUAAAACAGGACUGUAGAUUUUUAGGCAAUAGAGUAAGAGAACAAAGUGAAAUAAUGUUUUGUGUUAGAUAUUUAGAUUUAAAUCAUAUAGAGUUUGAGACAUUAAAUAAUACUCUUUUCCAUGGAUCAGAAAUUAGUCAUACUAAGUAUUAUUGGAGGCAUUGAAAUUUUCAUAAUCUUUAGAACUUUUGGUAUUGAGUGUAUGAGUAUUGUCAUCUUGUCAUGUAAUUAGAUUUUAUUAAUAUUAUUAGUUAAAUAUUGAAUGUUAAAUGAUAAAACAUUUUGUUCCAGCGCGGUAGGGGCAUCUGAGGCCUCCGUAGGCUCCCGUCGCCUCAUACGAAGAUCCGAAGUCUCCGAAGUCUCGGGAAACUUGGCAACUAUGCUGCUGAAGUCUUGGGCGGCUUCGAACAAGCCAUGGACUGGACCUGGCGGGUUAGAGCAAAUACUACUACGGAAAUUUUCUGGUCGGGAUUUGACAAAUCCUGGUAAUCUCCUAGAAAAGUAGUUUGAGAUAAGUAGUAUUGCUAGGAAAAAUACAAAUUACUAAGAGUUUGGUAUAUUAGUCUGUUAGCUUUGUAGGGUGUGUGAGUGACUUUUCUCUUCAGCCCCCUCCACUCUGGGUGGCUUAGUUUUUUAUUUUUUUUUUCUCUCCAAAUGAAUUUUCUUAUGGGUAAUUUUUUUAUU